CAUCUAGAGGCGCAAGUACGUACAACAGGGAAAAAUGGGCUGGAAGUAUCCUUUAAUCGUCUUUGCCAAUAGCCUCUGGUUGUCUUAACGGAAUGCCCAUGAGCAAGGUAAAUCAACGCCACAAAGUUGUUCAUGCGGCUGAGGCUGUAGUCGACUGGCUUUAAAGGAAUAGGAGAGGCGCCCAGGUGAUGUAGGGAUUUCAGAUCUCCGCAAGGCACACAAAGAAAUAUAAAGUUAG
Molecule: small RNA, 238 nt
Filed under: Histoplasma ohiense
Lineage: Eukaryota; Fungi; Ascomycota; Eurotiomycetes; Onygenales; Ajellomycetaceae
Description: hypothetical lncRNA
Source: RNAcentral